This 495-nucleotide ribosomal RNA is filed under the name uncultured bacterium. Its description in RNAcentral is "partial 16S ribosomal RNA". It matches the Rfam family "Bacterial small subunit ribosomal RNA", at positions 30 to 507 of the family's 1533-position model. The record is from RNAcentral.
UGAACGCUGGCGGCGUGCCUAAUACAUGCAAGUCGAGCGAACAGACGAGGAGCUUGCUCCUCUGACGUUAGCGGCGGACGGGUGAGUAACACGUGGAUAACCUACCUAUAAGACUGGGAUAACUUCGGGAAACCGGAGCUAAUACCGGAUAAUAUAUUGAACCGCAUGGUUCAAUAGUGAAAGACGGUUUUGCUGUCACUUAUAGAUGGAUCCGCGCCGCAUUAGCUAGUUGGUAAGGUAACGGCUUACCAAGGCGACGAUGCGUAGCCGACCUGAGAGGGUGAUCGGCCACACUGGAACUGAGACACGGUCCAGACUCCUACGGGAGGCAGCAGUAGGGAAUCUUCCGCAAAGGGCGAAAGCCUGACGGAGCAACGCCGCGUGAGUGAUGAAGGUCUUCGGAUCGUAAAACUCUGUUAUUAGGGAAGAACAAAUGUGUAAGUAACUAUGCACGUCUUGACGGUACCUAAUCAGAAAGCCACGGCUAACUACGUG